CUAGAAUCUCAGUGUAAGUUUCUUAUUUAAAUAUCGUGUAUCAUAGGAAUAUGUAUAUAUAUCAUUCAAAGAAGAGAAAACAAAGUUAAUACUAGUAAAAAUCAAUGAACUUUUUUGAGAGGAGUGUGUUUAUAUCUUUUUAAGACAUUUAUAAAACAGUGUUCAGAAAUGGUCAGAUUACUGCCAUGGGUUGAAGAAGUCUAAAAAACCACAGCAAUCUGCAUAAAGAUACUGUGAUACGUUCCGUCUGCCGCUGAAGAAGGUACAAGGAUCUAGGACUCACCUGAGGUUUUCAACAGGGAAAGGAUUACCUUCUUAACCAGCAGCACUCCAGCUGUUUUGGCCCAUAUUCCUCAAGAUCACAAACUAAACCAGGGGUGCUAUAGCCCAGACUCCCUACAAAAUCAACUUAUUUGAUGAGUUCAUCUGCAAUGGUGUUUUCUGGACAAAUAACAUGACUCUGAAGAUCAGUGACAUAUCUGCAAGGUACUCUAAGAAUUAUGUAUUACCUAUACAACAUGUACACAACCUCUAUGUACAAAUCGUUUUCUUCAGGACAACUGAGCAAGAGGACACAGUUAAAGACAACAUAAAUUUAGAAGCAAGACAAAGUGUUAACAAGAAAAAUUAUAAGGAAAGAAACAUUAUUUCUGAAGGUUUUCUGUUGCAUUUUAUGCAACAAUUUCUGAUAAAUAAACAAUAGGAGGUUAAUUUCAAAUUCUUUCACGAUGUGUUAAAUCUUCUCAAAUUUUCCUUAU
Molecule: long non-coding RNA, 758 nt
Organism: Gallus gallus (chicken)
Lineage: Eukaryota; Metazoa; Chordata; Aves; Galliformes; Phasianidae
Source: Ensembl